GCCGAUGAUGAAUUUUGCACAUACUGAUUGGUGAUGAUCCUCCACGGGUCUGAGGC
Molecule: small nucleolar RNA, 56 nt
Filed under: Archaeoglobus profundus DSM 5631
Lineage: Archaea; Methanobacteriati; Methanobacteriota; Archaeoglobi; Archaeoglobales; Archaeoglobaceae
Description: Pyrococcus C/D box small nucleolar RNA
Rfam family: Pyrococcus C/D box small nucleolar RNA
About the family: Computational screens have identified C/D box snoRNAs in a number of archaeal genomes. This family represents several related snoRNAs from Pyrococcus.
Source: Rfam by way of RNAcentral